AUCGUGCUCCCUCCGUCCCAAGAUUAUUUUUCUUAGAUUUGUCUAGAUACGGAUGUAUCUAAUACUAAAACGUGACUAGAUACAUCCGUGUUUAGACAAAUCUAAGGCAAGAAUUUUGGGACGGAGGAGUACAAA
Triticum aestivum (bread wheat) is the source of this 135-nucleotide non-coding RNA. The record is from Rfam. Lineage: Eukaryota; Viridiplantae; Streptophyta; Magnoliopsida; Poales; Poaceae.